CGAAAACGAAUUCUCUCUUGAGUGGAUCCUGAGUACGACGGAGCACGUGAAAUUCCGUCGGAAUCUGGGAGGACCAUCUCCUAAGGCUAAAUACUCUCUAGUGACCGAUAGUGAACCAGUACCGUGAGGGAAAGGUGAAAAGUACCCCGGAAGGGGAGUGAAAGAGAACUUGAAACCGUGUGCUUACAAGUAGUCAGAGCCCGUUAAUGGGUGAUGGCGUGCCUUUUGUAGAAUGAACCGGCGAGUUACGAUCUGAUGCAAGGUUAAGCAGAAAAUGUGGAGCCGUAGCGAAAGCGAGUCUGAAUAGGGCGAAUGAGUAUUUGGUCGUAGACCCGAAACCAGGUGAUCUACCCUUGGUCAGGUUGAAGUUCAGGUAACACUGAAUGGAGGACCGAAC
This 397-nucleotide ribosomal RNA is filed under the name Staphylococcus pseudintermedius. Its description in RNAcentral is "partial 23S ribosomal RNA". It matches the Rfam family "Bacterial large subunit ribosomal RNA", at positions 380 to 779 of the family's 2925-position model. The record is from RNAcentral. Lineage: Bacteria; Bacillati; Bacillota; Bacilli; Caryophanales; Staphylococcaceae.